Peromyscus californicus insignis is the source of this 3865-nucleotide long non-coding RNA. RefSeq lists it as uncharacterized. Lineage: Eukaryota; Metazoa; Chordata; Mammalia; Rodentia; Cricetidae. The transcript has 3 exons. The record is from RefSeq and is a predicted model, not a curated record.
CUUCAGGAAAAUGUCCUGUGGUCCAGGCAGCGCGGAGCAGUAAAGAGAAUCAGAGCCAUCACACCUGCUGCCUAAGCCAGUUGUGUGCGGUGAUGCUCUCCAUGCCGUGCAGAGCAGGAGGGCGGAGGUUGCGAAGUGCGGGUGCAGGCGCUGCCUCUUUCUGCAGGAUCCUCAGCUGUAAUCCUACACUGGCAAGCCUGCAGGGGCACAGCCCCUCCACCUUGAACCGCGCCUUGGUCGCAGCGCUGCACUAUGGCCCCCUACGCGAGCCAUUCCGCAGGAACUUGGCGGAAGAGCCCUAGGGGAUGAGGCCUGGCGCUGCCUGAGCGCCUCCCAGAGCUUGCGCUGCGUGCCCGGGGCUAGCUCAUUGGCAAGAACACCUCGUGCAAAGGCCGGCUGCCGGAGGCGCAAGUAGCUGUUCAUCCGCGCGCAUUCAUCCGCGCGCCUGGCCUCUUUAGUGCAGCAUCCCUUCCCGGGGGGGAGGGGGAGCGCGGGGGGCAGCGCUUUGCAAAAGGCUCCACAGCUUCUGAAAGGCUCCAGACCUCAGCAUGGAACCCAGGCGGCUGUGUUCUCUUGGGGCCAAAGACCAGCAUUAAAAACAAGCAAAUAAAAAAUCUCGGUUUGGCCUGAAUGGAAGUUCCCACAACUUUGAAGAACUCCCCAGGCUGGAAAAGAUGAUAGCAUGAAGCUAUGUCUGUGUCCCCUCAAAUCAAUCCUGGGGAAUUUUGCUUGGACAUGUAUUCAAGACGGAGUGGUGUGAGAGGCCACAGCAAGAAGGUGACUGUCUAUAAAGUAGGAAGACAGGCUUUUCCAGAAACUGACUGAAGGAAGCCUCAUCUUUGAUUCAUAUCCUCCAAAAUGUGAGAAUAUAAGUAUCUGUUCCUUAAGACAUUCAAUGUGUGAUAUGUUUCUGGCAUGCUAAACCAAGUAACAGCAUUUGGUAAGACUGGUUCUUCCACUUUAUCAUUUUGGGGGUUUAUUGUUUUGAUUGUGCAUAUUUGUAGGACUCAGCAUGAUAAUUUAAUCCAUGGAUUAUGUAAUGAUCAAAUUGGAAUAGGUAGCAUUUCUGUGUCUUUAUACAUUUGAAGUAAUAUUCUGUGGGGCUAGUUAUGGAACCUAAGGCCUUGUGCAUGCUUGGCAAGGGUUUCACCACUAAGCUAUAGCCAGACAGAACCCCUAAAAUGUUAACACGUCGUAGAUGUACAUAUAAAAAUGCAGUGUAUAGUAUGGUAUUUCAGUAUUUCAGUAUCUUCAUUAUUGAGAUCAGGCUAUGCCCUACUCUAAGUUACUCUACAGUGGUUUUUCAGGCUGUGCCCUGCCCUAGGAGACUCUAUUUUACAAGUAACUUUUGACUCCCUUUUGUUAGAGAAGUAUAACUGCAGCCCCUGGGUGGACCCAUAAACUGAAUCACUGGUCAGGCAACCAUCCAUCCAAAACAGACUAAAAAAUGACUUGUGCCUGAGAGUAUAAAGGGAGCCAUCCUAAAAGUUUAUUGUGCAGAAUUAUGGUUGUUAUAUCAGGGAACUCAGGACCAAGAACAUAUAAGACAUAGAAAUGUAAUUUCCUCAUGUGGACCUCCUAAAGUGAUGGAUACCCAGAACUGCAAUGCUAUGGCUACACACCAGCCUAUCAUCUGAUACCUGGUGAUGCUCUCAAGGACUGAGGACUUCCUGACUUUUCCUGGAGCUUCUUCUUGGCUUUGUCCCCUGCUGUUGACACUGCCUCCUGGACUGCUUGCCUGUCCACCUGUCCACCUACCUGUUCACCUGUUUGAACCUGCCCCACCAUUUUCUUCUCUUGAUCAGUUUCCUGCUUCAGACCAUGUUUGACCUUGAAGCUGAAGCCUGCAGUUUUGCUUUGAGACUGGCUUUCAGCUGCUCUCUCCCAGCACCUUUCUAGUUCAUUAUCUUAUCAAUGCAGACACUUCUUCAGCCCACUUCUGAAACCCCUUGAACUCUGCGGCAGCCUCUUUAACUUGUAUACAUUCUGUAACCCAUAUGGAGGCAUAUAUAUGUAUAUAAUAUGUUUAUAUAUAAAAUAUAUAUAAUAUAUUGCUGUGUGAUGUGUAAUAUGAGGGUUUCUAUUAGAAUUAAAAUUGAAAUAAAGAACCUGCAUUUCACCUUGUUCACACUACUGAGGUAGGUAGAUUAUAUGACAAAUUGUUGUCAUUGAAACUGCUAAACUUUGUGAAUUUGUUGUUAUCAUUAAAUCGGGACAUUGUAGAAAGACACAAACGUAUUUGUCUACGUUUCUGGCAUAGCAUGCUCACAGCACUUUAGCUUUCUGAAACCUUACGAGAGGGGCGUCAGUGCUGAUUUCUUGAUGUUUAUAUCCUGUUAGUUCUCUCAAUCUGCAUUGCAUGUGUCUGUGCCUUUUGAUAUGGUUGGACUUUUUCAAUUCAUGACUUAUUCAGAUUCUUUUUCGGCUUCAUACUCUUUUGAAACCUCUUAUAAUACAAGACAAGAUGGGAAGAGGGCAGAGCAUGAACUAGCACUGCUUUGCACGGUCAUGUUCUUUAUCCUUGUUGCUGGGUUUACGUUGUUUUCUGCUCAGCUCUGCAAACAUUCAUACACAUGUCUCACAUUUUCUUACUCUUCUGCACUGCCACUGAGUACAGGUAGAAAUCACACUGUUAAUGAUUACUCCUGACAGAAGGGAAAGGGAGUGGCACUCAUGUACACUAGGACUGCCCCCUUCUAACAGUGGUCAGAAGGAGGAAGAAAUUCUACUUCAUAUUGGGGCUUGCUGACAUCACAAUUGAGGGGCGGGUAGUAGAAAUGGAGUACCAACUAGCAGUGUCUCAAACCACCUUAUUGUGCCUGUUUACCAAAUGUGGGUAGGACGUCAGCCCUAUACUGGGUUCCAUUGACACUUGCCAGUGUAGAGAGCAGAAUCGGGGCUCUCACCAGCUCACCACCUCACUGUACUUUUCUAUUGCAAGAUACAUAUUGCAGAAGUCAAACCCAAGAUUCAGGAAGUUUCUGAAAAAUGUCCACAAUCUCAUAUCCUCAGUGUUAUGUAUCUAUAUGUAUUUUAUUGUCUAAAUGAUGUUCUACCUCUAAGUGUCCUUCCCUUUCCCAAGUCCUCUGUUCUGCCUCUGGAUAAUGCCGAGUCUUAGAGACCAUUUUAGGGCCUAGAAAGGAAUCCUGAAUCUAUUUUCUUACAUACAUCUUUUCAGCAUAACAUCUCAAUUUUGCCAGAAAUUGGUCCUACUGAUCUUUCUAGAUUCUGGGCUUUGGAGUCUAGCUUGUUUUGACCCUUGUUCAUGUUCUCUUGAGUUCAUACAGAACAAAUGUGUUGUCUGCAAUGUAUGUCCACAACUCUUCGGGCAGCCCUAUUAUUUCUUAACAAUCACUUAUCAAUAAUGUUUAUGAGCUAAGUGAUAAGAAUAUCAUAAUUAACAGAAAUGCACACACUCUUCUCUAUUGAAAUUAUCAGCCUUUCAUUCUGUGAAGAAAAUAAAUGAACAAAAACGUGAAAUGUAUAAAGUAUAUGUUUAUAAUUAGUAUGAAAAAGCGAAGAUAACGGGAAGGUAAAUUGAGAAAGAAUUGAGUAUGGGAUUGAAAGCCUGUGGCUUUAAGGAUAUGAGGAGGUUUACUUGGAUUGGAUCAGGGUUUCUGUAUGAUAGAGCGCUGUUGGGAAGUAAUAAAGUGGACUUCAUUUACACAACCAGACUACGAAGUGUAUUUAUCAGAAAUAUUCGAGCUGUCCGAGAGCUCACUGUUGGUAUUUGAAUGUGUGAAGUGUGUCUUCAUGUGGCCCAGUACAUGUACUGUGUUCACAGAGGCUUCUGCCUUUUGAAACAAUUAAAGCCUCAAUUUGAUAUUUUAAAAGCCAAAUAAAUAAAUAGUCUUCAUCAUGUGAA